RNAcentral lists this transfer RNA (25 nucleotides) under Rattus exulans (Polynesian rat). Its description in RNAcentral is "partial tRNA-Pro". Lineage: Eukaryota; Metazoa; Chordata; Mammalia; Rodentia; Muridae. The record is from RNAcentral.
UGGGGAGUUAGUUCCUUCUUCUUGA